GUCUACGGCCAUGCCACCCUGAACAAGCCCAAUCCCAUCUGAUCUGGAAGUCCAGCAGGGUUAGGCCUGGUUAGUACUUGGAUGGGAGACCACCUAGGAAGACCAGGUGCUGUAGGCG
This 118-nucleotide ribosomal RNA is filed under the name Pteropus alecto (black flying fox). Lineage: Eukaryota; Metazoa; Chordata; Mammalia; Chiroptera; Pteropodidae. The record is from RNAcentral.